AGUGAACGCUGGCGGUAGGCCUAACACAUGCAAGUCGAACGGCAGCACAGUAAGAGCUUGCUCUUACGGUUGGCGAGUGGCGGACGGGUGAGGCAUACAUAGGAAUCUACUUUUUCGUGGGGGAUAACGUAGGGCCACUUCCGCUAAUACCUCAUACGACCUACGGGUGAAAGCAGGGGAUCUUCGGACCUUGCGCGAUUCAAUGAGCCGAUGUCGGAUUAGCUAGUUGGCGGGGUAAAGGCCCACCAAGGCGACGAUCCGUAGCUGGUCUGAGAGGAUGAUCAGCCACACUGGAUCUGAGACACGGUCCAGACUCCUACGAUAGGCAGAAGUAUGGAAUAUUGGGCGAUGGGCGCAUGCCUGAUCCAGCCAUACCGCGUGAGUGAAGAAGGCCUUCGUAUUGUAAAGCCCUUUUGUUGGGAAAGAAAAUCAGCGCGUUAAAACCCCGCUGUUCUGACGGUACCCAAAGAAUAAGCACCGGCUAACUACGUG
This 492-nucleotide ribosomal RNA is filed under the name uncultured bacterium. Its description in RNAcentral is "partial 16S ribosomal RNA". It matches the Rfam family "Bacterial small subunit ribosomal RNA", at positions 29 to 507 of the family's 1533-position model. The record is from RNAcentral.